Molecule: long non-coding RNA, 1343 nt
Organism: Helianthus annuus (common sunflower)
Lineage: Eukaryota; Viridiplantae; Streptophyta; Magnoliopsida; Asterales; Asteraceae
Exons: 6
Source: RefSeq, a predicted model, not a curated record
AGUUCUGUACGCUCCCCUAAUUUUCCGGCCCAUCUUCCCACUAAACACUGUUGCUACAAAACUGGGACUUUGGCAGAAUGCAGUUGACGACCUCUCUUAUAUAAUAUAAACCCUUGCAACCAAAUAUCCACCUCCAUACAUCCUUCUGUUUGUUUGCAGUACAACUCGCCUGUAACCUCCGUAUACAACCAACAGUUAUCGCCCAAUAUCUGAUUGAUAAUCAAGAAAUAUGGCGAUGUCGAGGGCGAGCUCUUGCUUUGCACACCCUUAUCGUUUCUUCACCGUUGUUGCUUAUGCGGGAUUUGGUGCUCCCCCAAUUCGUCAUCCAAAGGGUCACCUCCAAAUUCUCAAUCGAAGUCGCUUAGUUACGUUACGCCCUUUGUGAGCAGCUCCAUCAUCAGAAAGGAAGUUCAAGAAGAUGAAGACCUUCAAUUAUCAAUGGCAGUUGCUCUACUCUUCUUCUCCUUCCUUCUCAGGGUUUAUCCUGUUAUAAUAUAAACAGAUUGAUUCAUUUUGGCCUACAUUAUCGUCUUGAGUCUCUUGACUUUAAUCGUCUUUAUCACUGUCGGACUGGAUUCUGAUAACCAGUAGUCAUUGUCGAAGAACAAGGGCACCAAUUGAGGCCGACUUUGUAUCACCUCUGCCAAGAGUAUUAACGUUCACCACACAUGUCUCACCAGUUGAUGUCGGCGCCAUCUUGUGUUUGUUUGUAACUAGCAAUUGACCGCUUCUUCAAGAGCUUGCCAAGCACGGGGGCUAUCAACUACUUAUAACUAACUGAGCGAAUUAUUUGUAUGUCUUCGGAAACUUUUGGGAAAAUCACAUACCAGGCCUGCCAUUGAGAUUGCUAAUGAAUUGAAUUCUCUAUACUUACUUGCUAACUAUAUUGAGGACCAGCCUGUUUGUGGGGAUGGGUUAAAGCAGAAGAGGGAGAGAUGGGUGAAGGUUUUUCCGGUGCUAGCUGCAUACCGAGGGUACAUAUAGAAGUAAGAGGAAAACAAGCUUGAUCUUGACCAUGACUAAUCAACAGUCAUCAACUUGUUGUUGAACUAUAACCGUGAAGGUAUUUCAAUGAGACCAUUUCAUGUUUUAGUACUCUAUUAGUUAUGUUUUCUAUCGUUUUGUGGUUGUAAACUGUUGACGUUCGUCUUCCUUUUAUAAAUUAAAGAAUAGUGCUUUUGUUUGUCAAGUUGUUUAAUUUUGUGCACACUAAAUAUAGGUUAGCUUUGUUUGUCACGUUGUUCAUAUAAUUUUGUGUAAUUUAACUCUAUUUUAUUUCUUCAUGUUGUUAUAAUAUAAUACAUCAACGUAACCCGUCCACCGGACGGGUAUUAAACUAGUUA